UUGAAUGAACUUGGCUGUGGUUGUUGCUGGCCCUCUUGGGGGCAUGUGCACACCCGCCAACCUCAUCUCUCCACCUGUGCACUUCUUGUAGACUUGGAUAGACUUUCCGAGGCAACUCGGUCUGGAGGAAUGCUGAAGCUUUCUUUGUAUUUCCCGGUCUACGUUUUUUUUUCAUAUACCCCAUCGCAUGUAACAGAAUGUAUCAUAUUGGGCCCUUGUGCCUAUAAACCUUAUA
This 235-nucleotide unclassified non-coding RNA is filed under the name uncultured Basidiomycota. RNAcentral's name for it is "sequence contains ITS1". The record is from RNAcentral. Lineage: Eukaryota; Fungi; Basidiomycota.